CUACGAAGGGUGCAAGCGUUAAUCGGAAUUACUGGGCGUAAAGCGCGCGUAGGUGGUUCGUUAAGUUGGAUGUGAAAGCCCCGGGCUCAACCUGGGAACUGCAUCCAAAACUGGCGAGCUAGAGUAUAGCAGAGGGUGGUGGAAUUUCCUGUGUAGCGGUGAAAUGCGUAGAUAUAGGAAGGAACACCAGUGGCGAAGGCGCCCACCUGGGCUAAUACUGACACGGAGGUGCGAAAGCGUGGGGAGCAAACAGGAUUAGAUACCCUGGUAGUCCACGCCGUAAACGAUGUCGACUAGCCGUUGGGAUCCUUGAGAUCUUAGUGGCGCAGCUAACGCAUUAAGUCGACCGCCUGGGGAGUACGGCCGCAAGGUUAAAACUCAAAUGAAUUGGCGGGG
Molecule: ribosomal RNA, 396 nt
Filed under: uncultured bacterium
Lineage: Bacteria
Description: partial 16S ribosomal RNA
Rfam family: Bacterial small subunit ribosomal RNA
Source: RNAcentral